UACAGAGGUCUCAAGCGUUGUUCGGAUUCAUUGGGCGUAAAGGGUGUGUAGGUGGCGCGCUAAGUCGGGUGUGAAAUUUCGGAGCUUAACUCCGAGACUGCAUUCGAUACUGGCGUGCUUGAGGACUGGAGAGGAGACUGGAAUUCAUGGUGUAGCAGUGAAAUGCGUAGAGAUCAUGAGGAAGACCAGUGGCGAAGGCGGGUCUCUGGACAGUUCCUGACACUGAGGCACGAAGGCCAGGGGAGCAAACGGG
This 253-nucleotide ribosomal RNA is filed under the name uncultured bacterium. Its description in RNAcentral is "partial 16S ribosomal RNA". It matches the Rfam family "Bacterial small subunit ribosomal RNA", at positions 524 to 776 of the family's 1533-position model. The record is from RNAcentral.